AACGGUCUAUACCUGCGGUACCUGCGGAGGGAUCAUUACCGAGUAAGGGCCCUCUGGGUCCAACCUCCCACCCGUGUUUAUUUUACCUUGUUGCUUCGGUGGGCCCGCCGAGAGGCCGCUUGGGACUUCUGUCCCGGGCCCGUGCCCACCGGAGACCAACUGAACUCUGUCUGAAUGUUGCAGUCUGAGUAUAUAACUAAAUUAGUUAAAACUUUCAGCAAUGGAUCUCUAGAUCGGAAG
This 240-nucleotide unclassified non-coding RNA is filed under the name soil metagenome. Its description in RNAcentral is "partial contains 5.8S ribosomal RNA, internal transcribed spacer 2, and large subunit ribosomal RNA". The record is from RNAcentral.